UAGGGAAUCUUCCACAAUGGACGCAAGUCUGAUGGAGCAACGCCGCGUGAGUGAAGAAGGUUUUCGGAUCGUAAAGCUCUGUUUUUGGUGAAGCAGUAUAGAGGCAGUAACUGGUCUUUAUUUGACGGUAAUCAACCAGCAAGUCACGGCUACCUACGUGCCAGCAGCCGCUGUAAUACGUAGGUGUCAAGCUUUGUCCGGAUUUAUUGGGCGUAAAGCGAGCGCAGGCGGAAUGAUAAGUCUGAUGUGAAAGCCCACGGCUCAACCGUGGAACUGCAUAGGAAACUGUAAGUAUUGAGUGCAGAAGAGGAGAGUGGAAGUCCAUGUGUAGCGGUGGAAUGCGUAGAGAUAGGGAAGAACACCAGUGGAGAAGGCGGCUCUCUGGUCGGCAAAUGAAGCUGAGGCUCGAAAGCAUGGGGAGAGAACAGG
Molecule: ribosomal RNA, 429 nt
Filed under: bacterium
Lineage: Bacteria
Description: partial 16S ribosomal RNA
Rfam family: Bacterial small subunit ribosomal RNA
Source: RNAcentral